RNAcentral lists this ribosomal RNA (253 nucleotides) under uncultured bacterium. Its description in RNAcentral is "partial 16S ribosomal RNA". It matches the Rfam family "Bacterial small subunit ribosomal RNA", at positions 524 to 776 of the family's 1533-position model. The record is from RNAcentral.
UACGGAGGGUGCAAGCGUUAAUCGGAAUUACUGGGCGUAAAGCGUGCGCAGGCGGUUUGUUAAGUCUGUUGUGAAAUCCCCGAGCUCAACUUGGGAAUUGCAAUGGAUACUGGCAGGCUGGAGUAUGGUAGAGGAAGGUGGAAUUCCCGGUGUAGCAGUGAAAUGCGUAGAGAUCGGGAGGAACACCGGUGGCGAAGGCGGCCAGCUGGCGCUGACCUGACGCUGAGGCGCGAAGGCAUGGGGAGCGAACGGG